GAGGAGGCUGCUUAGUUUACAUUUAUGUUUUUGUUUUUUUUAUCUUUUGUAAUGAACACCCUUAUCGAUGAAAUGGAUUUCUUCUUCAUCUUCUGAUGUGUCUGUUCGAUGUGCUUGGUCUCUUAUUUUCCUAAAUCUGGAGGUUGUGGUAUGAGUAGCUCGACUUGGAGCAUGUUAGCUUAGACUUGUAUGCAAGGUGGAUUUGAUGUAGAGGUCAUCAGUUUGGAUAAGUAUCUGA
This 238-nucleotide long non-coding RNA is filed under the name Elaeis guineensis (African oil palm). RNAcentral's name for it is "long non-coding RNA (EGUI_LNC068556)". The record is from RNAcentral. Lineage: Eukaryota; Viridiplantae; Streptophyta; Magnoliopsida; Arecales; Arecaceae.